Molecule: ribosomal RNA, 375 nt
Filed under: uncultured bacterium
Lineage: Bacteria
Description: bacterial SSU rRNA
Rfam family: Bacterial small subunit ribosomal RNA
Source: RNAcentral
UCACUCUAGGNCGGACUGCCGGUAAUAAACCGGAGGAAGGUGGGGAUGACGUCAGUCAUCAUGCCCCUUAUGACCUGGGCUACACACGUGCUACAAUGGAUGGUACAACGAGUCGCGAGACGGUGACGGCUAGCUAAUCUCUUAAAGCCAUUCUCAGUUCGGAUUGUAGGCUGCAACUCGCCUACAUGAAGUCGGAAUCGCUAGUAAUCGCGNAUCAGCANGCCGCGGUGAAUACGUUCCCGGGCCUUGUACACACCGCCCGUCACACCAUGAGAGUUUGUAACACCCAAAAGUCGGUGGGGUAAACCGUAAGGAGCCAGCCGCCUAAGGUGGGAUAGAUGAUUGGGGUGAAGUCGUAAAGGGGUUAACCGUAAA